AUGGCGGCGGGAAGCGAAGGCUGCGUGCUGCGGCGCGGCUUGAUGGGAGCUGUAGUUCCCGCCGCACCUCUAAAAAGGCUGGGCAUAGGCAGACGCUGUCCUGCGUGAUCAUUUGAUUGCUGCUUCUUCUCAAGGUCAUAUGGAGCUACUGAAUUGGGCAAAACAACUGCAGGAGAACUCGGAGUUCAGUCCUGAUGAAAUCCUGAAUCUGCCAGAAAAGUCAGGAAGGUGCCGAAAGUAUUACUGGGUCAUUUCUUCACAGGAGAAGGAUCUUCCCAGCUCACUGAUGCUCUUCUUAGUUUAAC
Long non-coding RNA from Lagopus muta (rock ptarmigan), 305 nucleotides. RefSeq lists it as uncharacterized. The record is from RefSeq and is a predicted model, not a curated record. NCBI's taxonomy places the organism in Eukaryota, Metazoa, Chordata, Aves, Galliformes, Phasianidae. The transcript is spliced from 3 exons.